GGAUGUGAGGGCGAUCUGGCUGUGUCAUCUGUCAUCCCAUUGAUCGCCAGGGUUGAUUAGGAUGAUCUGGCUGGCUAGGCAGGUGUCCUCUUCCUCCCUCAUGGCUGUGCGCUAGGUCGCAAUAGGAGGAAGAAAUUACGAGCUUGGUGGAAGAGGAUGGCCUUCCCCGAAUAGAGACUGAUAGGUGGAGGGUUUAGGAGUAGCUGUGCUCCCCUGCUAGAACCUCUAAACAAGCUCUCAAGAAAUAAAGUAGGGAGAAAGGUGAUUUGGUAGUGUUCAUACAUGUAUUUCCAAAUAGGUAAUCAC
Molecule: unclassified non-coding RNA, 306 nt
Organism: Erinaceus europaeus (western European hedgehog)
Lineage: Eukaryota; Metazoa; Chordata; Mammalia; Eulipotyphla; Erinaceidae
Gene: 7SK
Rfam family: 7SK RNA
About the family: 7SK was discovered as an abundant small nuclear RNA in the mid-70s but a possible function has only recently been suggested. Two independent studies have found that 7SK RNA binds the CDK9/cyclin T complex (known as elongation factor P-TEFb).
Source: Ensembl